RNAcentral lists this ribosomal RNA (546 nucleotides) under uncultured bacterium. Its description in RNAcentral is "bacterial SSU rRNA". It matches the Rfam family "Bacterial small subunit ribosomal RNA", at positions 355 to 896 of the family's 1533-position model. The record is from RNAcentral.
UAGGGAAUUUUUCACAAUGAGCGAAAGCUUGAUGGAGCAAUGCCGCGUGAACGAUGAAGGCCUUUAAGAUUGUAAAGUUCUUUUAUUUGGGAAGAAUGACUUUAGCAGGUAAUGGCUAGAGUUUGACUGUACCAUUUUGAAUAAGUGACGACUAACUAUGUGCCAGCAGUCGCGGUAAUACAUAGGUCGCAAGCGUUAUCCGGAUUUAUUGGGCGUAAAGCAAGCGCAGGCGGAUUGAAAAGUCUGGUGUUAAAGGCAGCUGCUUAACAGUUGUAUGCAUUGGAAACUAUUAAUCUAGAGUGUGGUAGGGAGUUUUGGAAUUUCAUGUGGAGCGGUGAAAUGCGUAGAUAUAUGAAGGAACACCAGUGGCGAAGGCGAAAACUUAGGCCAUUACUGACGCUUAGGCUUGAAAGUGUGGGGAGCAAAUAGGAUUAGAUACCCUAGUAGUCCACACCGUAACGAUAGAUACUAGCUGUCGGGGCGAUCCCCUCGGUAGUGAAGUUAACACAUUAAGUAUCUCGCCUGGGUAGUACAUUCGCAAGAAUG